GCAGCAGUGGGGAAUCUUAGACAAUGGGGGCAACCCUGAUCUAGCCAUGCCGCGUGAGUGAUGAAGGCCUUAGGGUUGUAAAGCUCUUUCAGCUGGGAAGAUAAUGACGGUACCAGCAGAAGAAGCCCCGGCUAACUCCGUGCCAGCAGCCGCGGUAAUACGGAGGGGGCUAGCGUUGUUCGGAAUUACUGGGCGUAAAGCGCACGUAGGCGGACCAGGAAGUCGGGGGUGAAAUCCCGGGGCUCAACCCCGGAACUGCCUUCGAAACUUCUGGUCUGGAGUUCGAGAGAGGUGAGUGGAAUUCCGAGUGUAGAGGUGAAAUUCGUAGAUAUUCGGAGGAACACCAGUGGCGAAGGCGGCUCACNGGCUCGAUACNGACGC
RNAcentral lists this ribosomal RNA (381 nucleotides) under uncultured Paracoccus sp. RNAcentral's name for it is "bacterial SSU rRNA". It matches the Rfam family "Bacterial small subunit ribosomal RNA", at positions 348 to 746 of the family's 1533-position model. Lineage: Bacteria; Pseudomonadati; Pseudomonadota; Alphaproteobacteria; Rhodobacterales; Paracoccaceae. The record is from RNAcentral.